UAGGGAAUAUUGGGCAAUGGAGGGAACUCUGACCCAGCCAUGCCGCGUGCAGGAUGAAGGCGUUAUGCGUUGUAAACUGCUUUUUAUAUAGGAAGAAAUAGUCCUUGCGAGGAAAGUUGACGGUACUAUAUGAAUAAGCACCGGCUAACUCCGUGCCAGCAGCCGCGGUAAUACGGAGGGUGCAAGCGUUGUCCGGAUUUAUUGGGUUUAAAGGGUGCGUAGGCGGUUUAUUAAGUCAGUGGUGAAAGACGGUCGCUCAACGAUUGCAGUGCCAUUGAUACUGGUAGACUUGAGUAUGAUUGAGGUAGCUGGAAUGGAUAGUGUAGCGGUGAAAUGCAUAGAUAUCGUCAAGAACACCGAUAGCGAAGGCAGCUUACCAAGCUGUAACUGACACUGAGGCACGAAAGUGUGGGGAUCAAACAGGAUUAGAUACCCAAGUAGUCCCUGAGCGGGCUGGCAAGGCGCAU
Molecule: ribosomal RNA, 467 nt
Filed under: uncultured bacterium
Lineage: Bacteria
Description: bacterial SSU rRNA
Rfam family: Bacterial small subunit ribosomal RNA
Source: RNAcentral